GACGAACGCUGGCGGCGUGCUUAGCACAUGCAAGUCGAACGGAAAGGCCCUGCUUUUGUGGGGUGCUCGAGUGGCGAACGGGUGAGUAACACGUGAUUAACCUUCCCUUGACUUUGGGAUAACUUCAGGAAACUGGGGCUAAUACCGGAUAGUAGCUCCUGCUGCAUGGUGGGGGUUGGAAAGUUUCGGCGGUUGGGGAUGGACUCGCGGCUUAUCAGCUUGUUGGUGGGGUAGUGGCUUACCAAGGCUUUGACGGGUAGCCGGCCUGAGAGGGUGACCGGCCACAUUGGGACUGAGAUACGGCCAAGACUCCUACGGGAGGAAGCAGUGGGGAAUAUUGCACAAUGGGCGGAAGCCUGAUGCAGCAACGCCGCGUGCGGGAUGACGGCCGUCGGGUUGUAAACCGCUUUCGCCUGUGACGAAGCGUGAGUGACGGUAAUGGGUAAAGAAGCACCGGCUAACUACGUG
RNAcentral lists this ribosomal RNA (468 nucleotides) under uncultured bacterium. Its description in RNAcentral is "partial 16S ribosomal RNA". It matches the Rfam family "Bacterial small subunit ribosomal RNA", at positions 28 to 507 of the family's 1533-position model. The record is from RNAcentral.